UGAGGAAUAUUGGUCAAUGGGCGGGAGCCUGAACCAGCCAAGUCGCGUGAGGGAAGACGGUCCUAUGGAUUGUAAACCUCUUUUGUCAGGGAGCAAUUCCCGCCACGCGUGGCGGGAGGGAGAGUACCUGAAGAAAAAGCAUCGGCUAACUCCGUGCCAGCAGCCGCGGUAAUACGGAGGAUGCGAGCGUUAUCCGGAUUUAUUGGGUUUAAAGGGUGCGUAGGCGGAGUGCCAAGUCAGCGGUAAAAAUUCGGGGCUCAACCCCGUCGUGCCGUUGAAACUGGCGCCCUUGAGUGGGCGAGA
This 303-nucleotide ribosomal RNA is filed under the name uncultured bacterium. Its description in RNAcentral is "bacterial SSU rRNA". It matches the Rfam family "Bacterial small subunit ribosomal RNA", at positions 355 to 655 of the family's 1533-position model. The record is from RNAcentral.